Molecule: transfer RNA, 73 nt
Filed under: Ictidomys tridecemlineatus (thirteen-lined ground squirrel)
Lineage: Eukaryota; Metazoa; Chordata; Mammalia; Rodentia; Sciuridae
Description: Spermophilus tridecemlineatus (thirteen-lined ground squirrel) tRNA
Rfam family: tRNA
About the family: Transfer RNA (tRNA) molecules are approximately 80 nucleotides in length. Their secondary structure includes four short double-helical elements and three loops (D, anti-codon, and T loops).
Source: Rfam by way of RNAcentral
GGGGAUAUGGCUCAGUUGGUAGAGUGCUUGCCUUGCAUGCACAAGGUCCUAGGUUCAAUACCUAGCACCACCA